GUUAAUUUGCCGGUGCGCCGUGCUCUGUGGUAAAGCCGGCCCCGGGUGGGUGCGUGGGGGGACUUUCCGGCUUUGCAGGUGGCAGGCGUUGUGUUUAAUAAAUAUCCGUGGACCUUUCUGUGCAAAUGGCCCCGUUCUUCUCUUCUUUGGUGCCCGUGGGAUCUGGUGGCAGCGAGUUCCGCUGUUUCGUUGGGUGGCGUACCAACAAAAAACUAAUUUCAGUUGCUCUGAAAAUCUGCCAGCUGAUAAUUAUAGCCGGCACCUCCUAAUUCUUGUGUUAUGAGAGAGGAGCUGCACCUGGACUCAGGAGAGCCAGGAGAGCUGGAUCUUGUACAAAGGAGGCACAGAAAACUAGUAUGUGGCGGCUGUGAUUCCAGGUUGACUAACAGAUAAGUCUAGAUGAUACAGAGGGUCACCUGAUCACAACUAUAAACUCUCAGAAGAAGAUAAGACUAAGC
Long non-coding RNA from Aquila chrysaetos chrysaetos, 458 nucleotides. RefSeq lists it as uncharacterized. NCBI's taxonomy places the organism in Eukaryota, Metazoa, Chordata, Aves, Accipitriformes, Accipitridae. The record is from RefSeq and is a predicted model, not a curated record. The transcript has 3 exons.